CCUACGGGAGGCAGCAGUGGGGAAUUUUGCGCAAUGCUCGUAAGAGUGACGCAGCGACGCCGCGUGAAUGACGAAGGCCUUCGGGUCGUAAAGUUCUUUCGACAGGGAAGAAAAUGCCUAUAAGUAACUGUGUAUGUAUUGACGGUACCUGUAUAAGCAGCCCCGGCUAACUCCGCGCCAGCAGCCGCGGUAAUACGGAGGGGGCGAGCGUUGUUCGGAGUGACUGGGCGUAAAGAGCACUUAGGCGGUGUUGUAAGUCAUUAUUCAAAGACUAGAGCUCAACUUUAGUAAGGCUAGUGAUACUAUAAUACGAGAGUAUCAGAGAGGAUUGCAGAAUUCCUGGUGUAGCGGUGAAAUGCGUAGAUAUCAGGAGGAAUACCGUUAGCGAAGGCGGCAAUCUGGCUGGAAACUGACGCUGAGGUGCGAAAGCGUGGGUAGCAAACAGGAUUAGAUAUCCCUGUAGUC
Molecule: ribosomal RNA, 465 nt
Filed under: uncultured bacterium
Lineage: Bacteria
Description: partial 16S ribosomal RNA
Rfam family: Bacterial small subunit ribosomal RNA
Source: RNAcentral